RNAcentral lists this ribosomal RNA (1435 nucleotides) under metagenome. Its description in RNAcentral is "bacterial SSU rRNA". It matches the Rfam family "Archaeal small subunit ribosomal RNA". The record is from RNAcentral.
UCCCGUUGAUCCUGCGGGAGAUUGCUACUAUCGGGAUUCGACUAAGCCAUGCAAGUCCAGGGGGAGCUCGCUCCACCGGCAAAAUGCUCAGUAACACGUCGAUAAUCUUCCCUUAGAUCUGGAAUAACCUCGGAAACCUGAGGCUAAUACCGGAUAGGGGAAUAAUUCUGGAAUGAUUAUUCCUUCAAAGAUUACGUCUAAGGAUGAGUCGGCGGCAGAUUAGGCUGUUGGUGAGGUAAUGGCUCACCAAACCAUUGAUCUGUACGGGCCGUGAGAGCGGUAGCCCGGAGAAGGACACUGAGAUACUGGUCCUAGCCCUACGGGGUGCAGCAGGCGCGAAACCUUUACAAUGCACGAAAGUGUGAUAAGGGAAUCCCGAGUGCUCAUGUUUUCAUGGGCUUUUAUUAAGAGUAAAAAUCUUGGUGAAUAAGUGGUGGGAAAGACCGGUGCCAGCAGCCGCGGUAACACCGGCGCCACGAGUGGCAAUCAGUAUUAUUGGGCCUAAAGCGUCCGUAGCUGGUCUGUUAAAUCUUUUGUGAAAUUGUUGGGCUUAACUCAACAGCGUGCAGAAGAGACUGGCAGACUUGAGACCGGGAGGAGUCAGAAGUAUUCGAAGGGGAGCGGUAAAAUGUUUUAAUCCUUCGAAGACUACCGGUGGCGAAGGCGUCUGACUAGAACGGUUCUGACAGUGAGGGACGAAGGCUAGGGGAGCAAACCGGAUUAGAUACCCGAGUAGUCCUAGCAGUAAACGCUGCCAACUAGGUGUUGCGCAUUCCACGAGGAUGUGCAGUAUCGUAGCGAAGGUGAUAAGUUGGCCGCCUGGGGAGUACGGUCGCAAGACUGAAACUUAAAGGAAUUGGCGGGGGAGCACCACAAGGGGUGCGGCGUGCGGUUUAAUCUAACUCAACACAGAGAAUCUCACCAGAGGCGACGGCAGGAUGAAAGUCAGUCUAAAGGGCUUACUUGACGAGCCGAGAGGUAGUGCAUGGCCGCCGUCAGCUCGUGCUGUAAGGUGUCCAGUUAAGUCUGGCAACGAGCGAGACCUGCAUCUACUAUUGCAAACGAGUUCUUUUGAAUGUUCGUGCACUUUGUAGAGACUGCCCUGGUAACAGGGAGGAAGGUGCAGGCUACGGUAGGUCUGUAUGCUCCGAAUCUUCUGGGCUACACGCGCGCAACAAUGGUCGGGACAAUGGGAUACAACUCCGAAAGGAGAAGUUAAACCUCGAAACCCGAUCCAAGUUUGGAUUGAGGAUUGUAACUCAUCCUCAUGACACUGGAAUCCCUAGUAAUUGGGUGUCAUCAGCGCCCAGUGAAUAUGUCCCUGCUCCUUGCACACACCGCCCGUCAAAUCACUCGAGCAGGGUUUAGAUGAGGUUAUGUUUUUUGAUAUAAUCGAAUCUGAGUUCAGUAAGAGGGGUUAAGUCGUCACAAGGUA